Long non-coding RNA from Passer domesticus (house sparrow), 1619 nucleotides. RefSeq lists it as uncharacterized. The record is from RefSeq and is a predicted model, not a curated record. The transcript is spliced from 2 exons. NCBI's taxonomy places the organism in Eukaryota, Metazoa, Chordata, Aves, Passeriformes, Passeridae.
GCUCGUGACCCCAGCGAGUGCUGCAGGCAGGAGCAGGCUAUAAAUCCUGCUGCUCUGCACCCCCGGCUCCGGGAGGGGAUGGUGCAGAGCAAGAGGGGCAGCUUGGAGAGGAUUUUUGUGCUUACUGAGGCAGGUGCAGAGUAAGCUGGCUUUCAUCACGGAGCCUGCCUGCCCUCCCGGAGGUGCUGGGCGUCCUCCACUCCCGCUGACUUCAGCCUCCAGGAAUGUGCAGCGGGCCCUGCCUUCUGCCGGCUCCGGGAAACCUUACCUUGGAUUGCUGGAAAAUGGAGUCCCGUGGGCUCACGGCGUGUGUGAAGGUGUGUGCGUGUGGCUCUGUGCACCCUCAUGCCUUGUGAAUCCAGCUCGGUGCAGUGUUAAAGCAUCCGGAGUUUUAAAUAACCCGUGACUUUGGCGUUUUUGUGGGAACAGCAGGCUGAGCACAAAAGCGAGCCGUGUCAGCCCCUCGUGGGGGCAGGUGAUGCAGCAUGACAUCACUCUCAGCUUAAUUAGGCUCAGGACUCCCGAGGAGCUGUGAGGUGUCUGCAUCAGAGGCUCAGCCCGUGCUGCUGUGGGCACGGGGCUGCUGCUCCCUGCAGCGCUGCCGGCCCCAGCCCCAGCCUUCAGCCCUCUUUGGAACAAUUCCUCUUUGGAAUUUGGGCACGAGAGGGAUGUUUGGGAACGCCGGCGGUGGGGGUUGCUGACCCAGGGCUGACAGUGAGCAACCAGCCUCUGAUUGCUGAUGCUGCAGGAGCUCAGAGAAGAAGAAGAGCUCUGGGGGAGCCGGGCUGUACCACCCACCUCCCUCUGCAGCAGCCAAGCCGUCCCUUGGCUGUGGGAGCCAGGCUGUGCUCUGACUGGGAGGGAAGAGAACUCCUGCUUCAGCUCCUCGGAUUUUCACAGGAUCUGUGCCUGCCCCUGUGUUUCACAGCAGGAACCACCCACCUGGCCGGUGCUUCAAGCUGUCUGUGUAAGUCCUGGCAGAGGAUGAUGAUGGCCAGGAAUGCCAAAAACGCUUGGUGUGGGUCAGGCUGCUUCCCCUGGAGACAAACUAGUGUCUCCUGCUCUGAACAUCAGAGCUGACACCUGAGCCAAUCCUGCAAUGAUUUCCAUGGUUUGGAAAUAGUUGUGCUGUAGUUAGGGCCAUCAGUGCCAGGGCUGCUUGUGCAGUGCCACCCACUGCAGCUCUGUGUGCUGCUCUUUUGUGCCUCUUUCCUGCAGAUGACACUCAACAGAUCCAGUACAUCUCUGUAGGAGCAGGAACACUGACCAGGCUGAUUUGGGGGGCCUGCAUUAGGUACCUCUGAGGGCCCUCCCACCCUGGGGAUCCCAAACCAAACCCUGAACAUGGCACAGCCAGCCCUGAGCACUGCAUGACCCGUCAGGUCUGGCUGGGGCAGCUCAUAUUUUAAAACUUCUACACCCUUUUAAAACUGUUCAUUUAAAAAAAUGUAUUAUUUAAUGUCAGAUAAAAGAUUACAGAUGUUCUGAGCUGCUGGCAGAUAUCAAUUGGAGACAGCUGGAAGCAGACCUCUGUCUUGGCUCAUGUGGACAGUUUGUAAAAGAGUGCCAGCUGAGGCUGUCUCAGUGCUGCUGAAUAGGAAACUCCCGAGCAGUUGUUA